GGAAUUUUCCGCAAUGGGCGAAAGCCUGACGGAGCAACGCCGCGUGAGGGAUGAAGGUCUUCGGAUCGUAAACCUCUGUCUUUAGGGACGAUAAUGACGGUACCUAAGGAGGAAGCCACGGCUAACUACGUGCCAGCAGCCGCGGUAAUACGUAGGUGGCAAGCGUUGUCCGGAAUUACUGGGCGUAAAGGGCGUGUAGGCGGCCUUUUAAGUCAGACGUGAAAACCCUGGGCUUAACCCAGGAACUGCGUUUGAAACUGGAGGGCUUGAGGACCGGAGAGGGUAGUGGAAUUCCCAGUGUAGCGGUGAAAUGCGUAGAUAUUGGGAGGAACACCAGUGGCGAAGGCGACUGCCUGGACGGCACCUGACGCUGAGGCGCGAAAGCUAGGGGAGCAAAC
This 398-nucleotide ribosomal RNA is filed under the name uncultured bacterium. Its description in RNAcentral is "bacterial SSU rRNA". It matches the Rfam family "Bacterial small subunit ribosomal RNA", at positions 358 to 773 of the family's 1533-position model. The record is from RNAcentral.